GAGUUUUGGGCUAGAUUAGGCUUUUAAAGAUGUUCCAAUACGGCCCAAAAUUUCUAGACUCCGUUAAGCCUCCGUCACUGAACAAGAAACGGAAAACCUCGUUAAAUCUUUUAUAACUUCGCUACGAUUGAACAGAGAAUAUUUCAUUUUUUUUUUUUUAGUUGCCUCUUCUGCAACGCGAUCCCGCCAAAGAAACUCUUAUCCCUCACGAAAAUUCUCAAAUCGUCGUUCUCUCUCGCUUCACCGGUUUCGUUAGCCGGGAAAUUGCAAUUUAAGAUCAGAAUCGUUGAGCCAUUUUGUCUAAGGAAGAGACAUUGGAGUAACAAGUAACGAGGGCAGCUAGGAGGUUGAGAUUUUACGAUGCUUUGUGUUUCUUUACGAAAUAGAAUUCACAAUUGGCUUCGCGACUACGUUAGGCUCCAAUCUGUCGUCGUGAUUCUUAUCUACGCUCAGAUAGGGUGCGCGUUGAUCGGUUCACUAGGGGCAUUGUACAAUGGAGUCUUGCUGAUAAAUUUGGCGAUUGCGUUAUUUGGGUUAGUGGCAAUCGAGAGUAAUAGCCAGAGUCUAGGCAGAACCUAUGCGGUUCUUCUUUUCUGCGCCAUUCUUCUUGAUGUCUCAUGGUUCAUACUCUUCUCCAACGAGAUUUGGAACAUUUCUUCUGAGAUGUAUCAAGUCUUUUACAUCUUCUCUGUGAAACUCACCCUGGCUAUGGAAAUUGCUGGGUUCGUUGUGAGGCUAUCGUCCUCUCUGUUAUGGUUUCAGAUCUAUAGGCUGGGAGCUUCUAUUAUAGACUCUUCGUUUCCCCGUCAACCUGAUUCAGAUUUACGAAAUAGCUUCUUAGAACCUCCUCUUUUAGCUAGGCAACGUUCACGUGAUCCAGAAUUACGGAAUAGCUUCUUACAGCCUCCUGCUAUAGCUAAGCAACGUUCGCGUUCUGAUGAAAUCUUGGAAGAUUCUAUUGACCAACCGGCCUCCUACACUCCUCUGUUUGAUGGCGGCCAAAGCAAUAUCACUUCGCCCAAUGCAAAACAGGUGAUUAAGCAUCAUUCAGCUGGAGACAUUUACAAAGGAUCCCCAUUGUCUGCUGCAGAAGCCUCUCGGAAUAAGUCUCCUCUAUCCAGAUCCUUGGAAGCACUUGAUUCUAGUCUCUGUUGAUAACUUGAUAUACAAAAUCUAAUGAUUGGGGCCGGUACUAUACUAUACCUUGUUUCUGGUGGAGUUUACUUGCACACAUCACCUUUUUAGGACAUAGAAAAGAACAGUUAUUGCUCUUGAUAGUGAAUCCUUGCACUCAGUGAAUUGCAUGUGUUGGAAGAUAGCUUUUGACUCGAGCAACUUCAUUCAACAAUUCUAAGGCGAUUCUUUGUUUUCAAUUUGAAGAUCCAGAUCCUAGAUUUACAUAGUGGGUGACAAGAAAGAACCAUGCCUCUCAUUUUACUCGAAACUGUAUAGAGAUUGGGACUAGGAAUGUACAUUAGCAUUCUUUUCUGUACAUGAAAAAUAGGUGAAUUGGAGGGUUAGUAUGAAGAUAUAUUUUUCAUCCAAAUGUUUGGUAAAAAAGUGAAGAUUUUACAAUUGAGAUAUAAAGUGCCAACAUGAUUUGCCUA
Molecule: RNA transcript, 1607 nt
Organism: Arabidopsis lyrata subsp. lyrata
Lineage: Eukaryota; Viridiplantae; Streptophyta; Magnoliopsida; Brassicales; Brassicaceae
Exons: 5
Source: RefSeq, a predicted model, not a curated record